CAGUAGCCGCGGUAACACGGAGGGAGCUAGCGUUAUUCGGAAUUACUGGGCGUAAAGCGCACGUAGGCGGCUUUGUAAGUAAGAGGUGAAAGCCCGGAGCUCAACUCCGGAACUGCCUUUUAGACUGCAUCGCUUGAAUCCAGGAGAGGCGAGUGGAAUUCCGAGUGUAGAGGUGAAAUGCGUAGAUAUCGGAAGGAACACCUGAGGCGAAAGCGGCUCACUGGACCAUAACUGACGCUGAGGCGCGAAAGCUAGGGGAGCAAACAGGAUUAGAUACCCGAGUAGUCCCUGUCUCUUAUAC
Molecule: ribosomal RNA, 301 nt
Filed under: uncultured bacterium
Lineage: Bacteria
Description: partial 16S ribosomal RNA
Rfam family: Bacterial small subunit ribosomal RNA
Source: RNAcentral